CCUACGGGUGGCUGCAGUAGGGAAUCUUCCACAAUGGACGAAAGUCUGAUGGAGCAACGCCGCGUGAGUGAAGAAGGUUUUCGGCUCGUAAAGCUCUGUUGGUAGUGAAGAAAGAUAGAGGUAGUAACUGGCCUUUAUUUGACGGUAAUUACUUAGAAAGUCACGGCUAACUACGUGCCAGCAGCCGCGGUAAUACGUAGGUGGCAAGCGUUGUCCGGAUUUAUUGGGCGUAAAGCGAGUGCAGGCGGUUUAAUAAGUCUGAUGUGAAAGCCCUCGGCUCAACCGGGGAAUUGCAUUCGAAACUGGUGAACUUGAGUGCAGAAGAGGAGAGUGGAAUUCCAGGUGUAGCGGUGGAAUGCGUAGAUAUAUGGAAGAACACCAGUGGCGAAGGCGGCUCUCUGGUCUGUAACUGACGCUGAGGCUCGAAAGCAUGGGGAGCGAACAGGAUUAGAUACCCGAGUAGUC
RNAcentral lists this ribosomal RNA (465 nucleotides) under uncultured bacterium. RNAcentral's name for it is "partial 16S ribosomal RNA". It matches the Rfam family "Bacterial small subunit ribosomal RNA", at positions 338 to 795 of the family's 1533-position model. The record is from RNAcentral.